AUUGAACGCUGGCGGCAUGCCUUACACAUGCAAGUCGAACGGCAGCACGGGUGCUUGCACCUGGUGGCGAGUGGCGAACGGGUGAGUAAUACAUCGGAACGUACCUUAUCGUGGGGGAGAACGCAGCGAAAGCUGUGCUAAUACCGCAUACGCCCUGAGGGGGAAAGCGGGGGAUCGCAAGACCUCGCGCGAUUAGAGCGGCCGAUGCCUGAUUAGCUUGUUGGUGGGGUAAAAGCCCACCAAGGCGACGAUCAGUAGCUGGUCUGAGAGGACGAUCAGCCACACUGGUACUGAGACACGGCCAGACUCCUACGGGAGGCAGCAGUGGGGAAUUUCGGACAAUGGGGGCAACCCUGAUCCAGCAAUGCCGCGUGAGUGAAGAAGGCCUUCGGGUUGUAAAGCUCUUUUGUCAGGGAAGAAACACCGGCUCUAACACAGUCCGGGAAUGACGGUACCUGAAGAAUAAGCACCGGCUAACUACGUGCCAGCCGCCGCGGUAA
This 500-nucleotide ribosomal RNA is filed under the name uncultured bacterium. RNAcentral's name for it is "partial 16S ribosomal RNA". It matches the Rfam family "Bacterial small subunit ribosomal RNA", at positions 29 to 523 of the family's 1533-position model. The record is from RNAcentral.